UUUUCGGCCUGUUUUUUUUUGUCAAUCUGAGUACUGCCUGGCGGCGUAAAGCAGCUAGAACGUAAAGUUUUGUUUUAUUUAUUUAAAAUUGUACACACUCGAAAUCUUACAACUGGCCGAACACUGGAUCGGCUGGCGGGCGCCGGAAGACAAGCUGGUCGAGGCCCAUGACAGCUUCCACACCAACUACUGCAUUAAGUGCAAAAAGGAAUACGGCAUUGCCUGGCUGAAGGAGGAGAUCUUCGCUGAUCGGCUGCCCAAGUGCACGACAUGUAAGAAAAUUGUGAAGCCUGAUAUUUUCUUUGGAGAAGACUUGCCCGAAAAGUUGCACAAAAGUUUGGAUGGAGACUUCAAGGAGUGCGAUUUGCUGAUCAUCAUGGGCACCUCGCUGGAAGUGCAUCCGUUUGCAGCUUUGGCGCAGUGCCCAGGACCGCGCUGUGUGCGUCUCUUGAUCAAUCACGAUGUCGUGGGUCGUCCCAAGUUUACCAGCUGGAUGGAUGACCAAAAUGGGCUCUACGAGAACAGCGAGUCAAGUAUUGACUUGGCGGAGAAACAUUCAAAGGCGACUUUCACCCACCUACGUCGAGGCUCUUCAGGUACUUUAUCCGAUUUCGAGAUAUAUUAAUUAGUAUUGAUUCAAGUUCAUCCCACCGUAGUGUAACCGAGCGUGACCAGCGCUGGCGCAGCGCUGGCGCAGCACAGCUCAUUGAGCAGACGAUGAACAGCAGAUAGCAGACUGCAGCUCCAGCUCGAAAACAUCAUCACAUCCGUUCUUGUGAACUCCUCUCUCGAGUUCGAAGUAUCGGCAUUGUGGAUGGUUCAGCAGGACAGCAGGUUCAGGACAGCCCAAUCGAUGCAGCCCAGGCAAGCGGCAGUGACCUUCCUUGUAGAGCGAAUAGAGAAAGGCUUCAGUCUGAAUGGUCUUGCCGAGGCCCAUCUCAUCGGCUAGAAUGGUGUCGAUGGCCUGUCGAGGCUCUUCAGGUACUUUAUCCGAUUUUGAGAUAUAUUAAUUAGUAUUGAUUCAAGUUCAUCCCACCGUAGUGUGACCGAUGAAAACAGCGCUGGCGCAGCACAGCUCAUUGAGCAGACGAUGAACAGCAGAUAGCAGAUUGCGGCUCCAGGUCGAAAACAACAUCACAUCCGUUCUUGGGAAAUCCUCUCUCGAGUUCGAAGUAUCGGCAUUGUGGAUGGUUCAGCAGGACAGCAGGUUCAGGACAGCAGGUUCAGGACAGCCCAAUCGAUGCAGCCCAGGCAAGCGGCAGUGACCUUCCUUGUAGAGGGAAUAGAGAAAAGCCACAGUCUGAAUGGUCUUGCCGAGGCCCAUCUCAUCGGCUAGAAUGGUGUCGAUGGCCUGGCCACAGCUGUAGUGAAGCGCUGGUUUCUCGUCGAGCCCAGUGCCAAGCGGAUGCUGCAGCAGGCAAUCAUUUUGGUCAUCCAUCCCGGUGGUAGAGUUGGGACGACCCACGGCAUCGCGAUUGAUCAAAAGACGCACACAGCGCUGUCCAGGGUACUGCGAGAAAGCUGCAAACGGAUGCACUUCCAGCGAGGUGCCCAUAAUGAUCAGCAGAUCGCACUCCUUGAAGUCUCCAUCCAAACUUUUGUGGAACUUUUCGGGCAAGUCUUCCCCAAAGAAAACAAUAUCCGGCUUCGCAAUUUUCUUGCAUGCCGUGCACUUGGGCGGCCGAUCAGCGAAAAUCUCCUCCUUCAUCCAGGCAAUGCCGUAUUCCUUCUUGCACUUAAUGCAGUGGUUGGUGUGUAAGCUGUCAUGGGCCUUGACCAGCUUAAGUUAAGGCACGCCCGGUACAAUUUUAAAUAAAUAAAACAAAACUCUACGCCAAGUUAAACUUGAAAAAUUUGUAUCAAAAUAUCUGUAUUGCUUUUAAAUUGUCCUAUCCCACUUGAGCGCGACCUGAAGACACCCUGGGAACAUCAGAGAGGAGGCAAGGAAGCACUCACACACCAUGCAAGAUGCCAGAGCAAACCAAUUGCAUUUUCCAUACGGAUUUGCAUGAUUUAAAGGAUCAUUAAAGUUGAACAACGUCGUCAAAAGCAAUAAGACAGUACAACAAAAAAUCGAUAAGAUGUUGAAAACAGGACAGGAGCCUUACCAGAACUUUGAUAGAAUAAAACCAUACAUAUACACUCCCAAUCAGACAACAAACAAAUUUAUUUUUCAAUCAAGGCUCUUUUCCUUAUUUAAAAAUAAAAGAAUUUCACUUCUAAGUUAAAAG
This 2231-nucleotide long non-coding RNA is filed under the name Drosophila guanche. Lineage: Eukaryota; Metazoa; Arthropoda; Insecta; Diptera; Drosophilidae. The record is from RNAcentral.